Molecule: ribosomal RNA, 301 nt
Filed under: uncultured bacterium
Lineage: Bacteria
Description: partial 16S ribosomal RNA
Rfam family: Bacterial small subunit ribosomal RNA
Source: RNAcentral
CAGCCGCCGCGGGAAUACGAAGGGGGCUAGCGUUGUUCGGAUUUACUGGGCGUAAAGGGCGCGUAGGCGGGCGAAUAAGUCAGGGGUGAAAUCCCAAGGCUCAACCUUGGAACUGCCUUUGAUACUGUUUGUCUUGAGUUCGAGAGAGGUAAGUGGAACUGCGAGUGUAGAGGUGAAAUUCGUAGAUAUUCGCAAGAACACCAGUGGCGAAGGCGGCUUACUGGCUCGAAACUGACGCUGAGGCGCGAAAGCGUGGGGAGCAAACAGGAUUAGAUACCCCAGUAGUCCCUGUCUCUUAUAA